UAUUAGUGGGGGAAAAGUAUGUGAUUUGGGUAAGUUUUCACUAACUAACAUUUCUUUCUUCAUAUUUUCUAUAGCCUUCUUUGAUCUGAGAUCAACAUUGAUUUACAGUUUAUAGGGUUGUUGUUUUAGAGUUUAUCUUCUUCAUGACUUUACGUUUUUGUUUACUUUGAAAUAAUCAUAGAGUCAAAAGGGAGGUCUGGUGUACCUUUCACCCAGCUUUCCCCGAUGGCCACGGCCACGUGUAGCACAAUGUCAAAACCAGGAAUUUGGCGUCGAUACAUAGUCUUCUGGGGGAUCAGCAUGAACUGCAACAUACUUUAGGAAACACUGUCUUGCACUCUGCUCUUGGGUACCACAAAUAGGAGAAUAGACAUGCCUAAAAUUCAAAUUUCAAGAUCUUUAUCACAGUUUCCCUCUACAUGUUCGGGUGUGCACUGGAGGUGUGCCCUUUAAAACACAGAGCAGGUAAGCACUUUUAUUUCCCAGAGACAGACUCUGGGCUCCUCUAAACAGAAUGAAGCCCCUCCCAUGCUCGCAGGAGUGGGCAUCAGUAUCCCCCCUUUUUUAGCCCCCAUGCCUGGAAAUUCUUAUUCAGUAGGUCUGGGGCGGGGACUGGACAUAUGUAUUUUAUAAAACACCUAUACAUGUUUUUUAUGUGAGCUCCCAUCUGUCAGACGUUUGACAAAUUCUUUUUUUUAAUUUUUAGAUACUGCCUGAAACAGUAUUGAGAGUGGCUUCCAGACAUAUGCUUGUUGUCCGAGUGUUUCACCUGCAUCACUUUGCAGUCCUGAGGAAUCAUUUUGAGACUAAAAUUUCCAACUAAUUUCCAAUGCAUAAACUUCUAGAAAGAACUUUUUAUGCCAAAUGUUUUGAAAGCUUUUUAAAGUUAAAUUAAUUGGGUAUUCAACCCUAGGAAAGGUGUUGUUUACUCUUUUUUUGAUGUAGCAAAUAAAUUUCUACCAAAAUGGAAUACAAGGACAUUUAAAAAUAGUCAUAUUCCUUUAGACACCGUUUUGAGGGGUAAUUUUCUGUCUUCAAAAUGCUUUUUCCCUCUCAAUGUUUCUCUGCCCCUUUCCAGACCAGUCAGUCUGUCUCUGUUCGUUUUCUUGACUGACG
Molecule: non-coding RNA, 1116 nt
Organism: Miniopterus natalensis
Lineage: Eukaryota; Metazoa; Chordata; Mammalia; Chiroptera; Miniopteridae
Source: RefSeq, a predicted model, not a curated record